This 273-nucleotide ribosomal RNA is filed under the name uncultured bacterium. Its description in RNAcentral is "partial 16S ribosomal RNA". It matches the Rfam family "Bacterial small subunit ribosomal RNA", at positions 524 to 796 of the family's 1533-position model. The record is from RNAcentral.
UACGUAGGGGGCAAGCGUUAUCCGGAUUUAUUGGGCGUAAAGAGCUCGUAGGCGGCCGAUCGCGUCGGAUGUGAAAGCUCAGGGCUUAACCCUGAGACGCCAUUCGAUACGGAUCGGCUAGAGGUAGGUAGGGGAAAGUGGAAUUCCUGGUGUAGCGGUGAAAUGCGCAGAUAUCAGGAGGAACACCGGUGGCGAAGGCGGCUUUCUGGGCCUUACCUGACGCUGAGGAGCGAAAGCUGGGGGAGCGAACAGGAUUAGAAACCCCUGUAGUCC